Molecule: long non-coding RNA, 373 nt
Organism: Rosa chinensis
Lineage: Eukaryota; Viridiplantae; Streptophyta; Magnoliopsida; Rosales; Rosaceae
Exons: 2
Source: RefSeq, a predicted model, not a curated record
CUCAUCUUUUACGACAGAAACGAGAAAGAAAAAAAGAGAGGAAGAGAGAGAGAAAGAGAAAGAAAGAAGGAAAGAAAGAAAAGGAGAUCCGUUCAAACCGUCGACAUUUUGGAGAAACCUCAAGUUGAGAAAAAUGCUAGGGGGAUUGAGAUGAAGCUGCUGCCAAAAUUUGGUGACAAUCGGAGAAGUUGACCGCCGAGUGAACAGUACCGCGCGUGAACAGUGCGGUGCGUGAAUAGUGGUGAGGUUUAAACAGAAUUUAAAUUCUUUUUUUUAGCUAGUUAAAUCCUUUAAUUUUUGUAGAGGUUGAUUAUGUGAAUUUGGUUGGAAUUGGAGAAGUUUUUAAUCAAUUAUAAAUUUCUAAAGAUUUGGA